GUAAUGUCUGGGAAACUGCCUGAUGGAGGGGGAUAACUACUGGAAACGGUGGCUAAUACCGCAUAACGUCGCAAGACCAAAGAGGGGGACCUUCGGGCCUCUUGCCAUCAGAUGUGCCCAGAUGGGAUUAGCUAGUUGGUGAGGUAACGGCUCACCAAGGCGACGAUCCCUAGCUGGUCUGAGAGGAUGACCAGCCACACUGGAACUGAGACACGGUCCAGACUCCUACGGGAGGCAGCAGUGGGGAAUAUUGCACAAUGGGCGCAAGCCUGAUGCAGCCAUGCCGCGUGUAUGAAGAAGGCCUUCGGGUUGUAAAGUACUUUCAGCGGGGAGGAAGGUGUUGUGGUUAAUAACCGCAGCAAUUGACGUUACCCGCAGAAGAAGCACCGGCUAACUCCGUGCCAGCAGCCGCGGUAAUACGGAGGGUGCAAGCGUUAAUCGGAAUUACUGGGCGUAAAGCGCACGCAGGCGGUCUGUCAAGUCGGAUGUGAAAUCCCCGGGCUCAACCUGGGAACUGCAUUCGAAACUGGCAGGCUUGAGUCUUGUAGAG
Molecule: ribosomal RNA, 550 nt
Filed under: Salmonella enterica subsp. enterica serovar Hartford
Lineage: Bacteria; Pseudomonadati; Pseudomonadota; Gammaproteobacteria; Enterobacterales; Enterobacteriaceae
Description: bacterial SSU rRNA
Rfam family: Bacterial small subunit ribosomal RNA
Source: RNAcentral